Rosa chinensis is the source of this 1447-nucleotide long non-coding RNA. RefSeq lists it as uncharacterized. NCBI's taxonomy places the organism in Eukaryota, Viridiplantae, Streptophyta, Magnoliopsida, Rosales, Rosaceae. The record is from RefSeq and is a predicted model, not a curated record. The transcript has 5 exons.
UUACGACAGAAACCAGAAAGAAAAAGAGAGGAAGAGAGAGAGAAAGAGAAAGAAAGAAAGAAAGAAAGAAAGGGAGAUCCGUUCAAACCGUCGACAUUUUGGAGAAACCUCAAGUUCUAGUUGUUUUCUGAACUUGGUGUAGUUGAGAAAAAUGCUAGGGGGAUUGAGAUGAAGCUGCUGCCAAAAUUUGGUGACCAUCGGAGAAGUUGACCGCCGAGUAAACAGUACCUCGCGUGAACAGUGCGGUGCGUGAACAGUGGACGACGUACCGAGCGAUUGCUCGACGAAGGAACUCAUAUGCGUGAUCAUCGGAAUAGUAUUUUUGCAGGCGAAUUAGUGAGGUCGGGCGUACACGGAGUUGAGGCAUAGUCAACAGCAUGGCUUCCGCGUUUGCCUUUGAGUUAGGUACAUCAGAGAAAAUGACAAGGAAAUGAGUUUAAAGACACAAGAGAAGGAUGUGAAAUGUUGGAGAUGACAAAGGCAAGGCACAUGGAUACAGAAAUGAGCUGAAAUGAAGAAAUGGAGUAUUCCUGGCCCGAUUAGGAAUCCCAGUCAAAGUAGGAAUCCUGAUGAGGCUAGGAAACCUGAGGGCACUAGGAGACCAUGUGGCUUCAAGAUGACUCAAAACUCAAGAUUAUUCUAGAAUACUUGGGAAUUUUCGGCAAAAUGAAGAACCCUAGACAUUAUAGGGGUUUUGGAGGUAAAAGGAGUAAUUUUUUUGGAUAAAUACAUGAUUUUUCGUGAAAAUAAAAGAAGAUUCAAGAAGGUGACAUUUUUGAAGUUAUCAUGGAGAGUUUUAAGGGAUUUACAAUAUUCAGAAAGGUUGAAAACGUAUCUAGAUACAUUCCUUGAGUUCCACACUCCAUCCUUGGCAGAAACUAAGAAAAUAAAUCAGAAAAUAAUCAUGCAUAAUGCAAAAAUAAUCUCCCUAGAAUCAAAGUGCUAAUUUGAAGGCUUCUUAUUGGUUGGAUGACACAUGAAGGAUGAUGUGGAAUUAUCUGAUUGGCUAAUGUUGUGUGGAUUAAUCAGAUAAAUCCUAGAAAAUAAAAAUAAAAAUUUUGAAGACUUGGAGACUAAAUUGCCAUCCUCCUAUAAAUAGGAGCAUCAUAGACACCACCUCACACACCACUUCACUAACGAAUUUUUUCAUUCUUUUCAACACCAAAAAUUCUCUCCAUUCUCUAGUCCUCAGAAGCUCUGCGUCUUUAACCAAGGAGGGGGAGAAGUCAUGCAAUACAUCAAGAUCCUAGCCGCCGUCCACCCUUGUGUCGUCCCUAGAAGAUUACUUGCUUUCAAGGAUCUUCAAGUUCUUCGUCUCAAAGCUUUGUCAUUUAUCUUUCACAGUGUAUUUCAUACUUUCUUUUGUUUUCAUUUGUUUGAUUCGUAGAGUUAUGAAUUCUAGUUAACAUGACGUUAAGGGCAAAGUUUAAAGCCCGUUUAUAUGUUU